AUAAACAGGGAAAUCAAGCUAUGGUUUUUAACUAGGCAGCCAGCAAUACAGCAGGAUACGUACUCCACCUCCACCUCCUGGCAGAGAAGUUAAACCCAGCUUCCUAUACCAGCACCUGGAGCUGACUAAGAGGAGGAUACUUGAGUCAGAUUGAUAGACUGGACAACAUUUAUUAUUAACUUCUUACUAUGGCAAGGCACUGAGGCAAAGAAGUUGAGGAUCUGAGAGUCAUAGAAAGACUUGGCAAAGAUGUGCUGCUCCUACUGUACUAUAUUAUGAUCAAGUUUUUCAUUCAGUUCUGGUCUUUUCUUCAAGAAUAUACUACAAGCAACUAGAAAAGACACAAUUUAAAUACUGUGAAGCUACAAUUAGAAUAAUGUAAGUUAGCCCU
This 391-nucleotide long non-coding RNA is filed under the name Monodelphis domestica (gray short-tailed opossum). Its description in RNAcentral is "lncRNA (ENSMODG00000034716.2)". Lineage: Eukaryota; Metazoa; Chordata; Mammalia; Didelphimorphia; Didelphidae. The record is from RNAcentral.